UUAGAUAGUUCAUUCUUGUCCUUGAAGGACAUUCCAAUAAAAAAGUAGGUCCCGUCGUCUUGAAGAUUUCUAGAUUGUGUCGAUUGAGAAGAACUGCACAUCGUAUUGGUCGCAUCAACGGGCGUAGGUGUUUGAUAAUCAUCUGGAAUAUUCAUGUCUAGAUCAUCCAACCUAUCAUCAAAGAAGUCUUCUUUUUCUUC
This 200-nucleotide long non-coding RNA is filed under the name Capsicum annuum. RNAcentral's name for it is "long non-coding RNA (CANN_LNC000920)". The record is from RNAcentral. Lineage: Eukaryota; Viridiplantae; Streptophyta; Magnoliopsida; Solanales; Solanaceae.